CUGUGAAAAACCCAAACCAGCAGAGCUAUUGGCAGGAGAUGGGCAGAUGGGUGGGCUAUGAAGAGACCUAUGAUGUUGAGGCGGGCCGCUGGGGCCAGUCCCACAUCUCCUACCUCACCUUCAAGAGCCUGGUGCAGAUACGCAGGACAAUGAACACGGGUGUGAUGAUGCUGGACAGAGAGGAGAAGACGCUCACCAGUAUUAUUGAGAAGAUUGUGGAUGCCCUGGUUAGCAAAAAGGAGAUUCAGCCUGGGGACAGGGAUAAAGUUCUUCAAGCAUUAAUGCACAAACAGAGCCAGUCUGUGGAGACCCAGCUUCUGACUUCAGGUGUGGAAAUGGAGAAAUUCUCUGUCACAGAGAAAAGGGAUGCAACUGACACAUCAGAGGCCUCGAUGGUGCUUGUAGGUGCUUUGGAGUUCCUGCAGAGGCCUACAAUAGUAUUUGUGCGUCUACGGGAUGCUGUGGUGCUGGAGUCGGCCCUGGAAACUCCUGUGCCUGUGCGGUUCAUCUUCAUUCUGAUUGGCCCAACCACAGCUGAUGUGGACUAUCACGAGUGUGGCCGAACAAUGGCAGCACUACUAGCUGACAAAGUGUUUAACCAGGCAGCUUUUCAGGCUCAGAAUGACAGAGAGUUGAUCGAUGCUUUGGGAGACUUCAUGGACUGCUGCAUUGUGAUUCCACCCACUGAGAUUCAGGAUGAGUCCAUGCUAACAUCACUCAUCCCCUUCCAGAAGAAACUACUGCAAGAGAAACUCCGCCCAUCUGACCCCAAACUCCGCCUGGAUGUCAAACCUCGCAAGCCUUCAAAGUCCUCAGGACCCCCUUCAGAAGAUCCACUAGAACGUACUGGUGUUCUGUUCGGUGGCAUGAUUAGAGACAUGAAGAGACGGUAUCAACACUACGUCAGUGACAUCACUGAUGCUCUGAACGCUCAGGUUGUCGCUGCAAUCAUCUUUAUCUACUUUGCUGCUCUUUCCCCAGCCAUCACCUUCGGAGGUCUCCUUGCUGAUAAGGUGGAUAACAUGAUGGGUGUUUCAGAGCUGAUGAUCUCCACUUCAGUGCUGGGCGUUAUCUUCUGCCUGAUUGCUGCCCAACCUGUACUAGUUAUCGGCUUUUCUGGGCCACUGCUGGUGUUUGAAGAGGCCUUUUUUAAUUUCUGUAAGUCUCAAGACAUUGAGUACAUCGUAGGCCGAGUAUGGGUUGGCGCUUGGCUGGUGGUCAUCGUUGUGGUCAUUGUUGCCUUUGAAGGAAGCUUCCUGGUCCGCUUCAUUUCUCGCUUCACUCAAGAAAUCUUCUCCAUCCUCAUCUCCCUCAUCUUCAUCUAUGAGACCUUUGCCAAACUUGGCAGGGUUUUCAAAGAACACCCUCUUAUCCUGAAUUACGAGCAAUUAAACAGUACACUUGAGGACCCUUGGCACUCAGAAAUCAACGAGCAGAGAUUCCUGGACAAUGCUACAGGCAACGUGUCUGUGGUGAGGUCCGUUCAACACCGGCCUUAUCCCAAUACAGCUCUUCUGUCCAUGUGUCUCAUGUUUGGCUGCUUUUCUAUUGCAUACUACCUACGCAUGUUCAAGAAUGGCAAAUUUCUACCAGGCAAGAUUCGACGUUUGCUUGGUGACUUUGGAGUUCCCAUUGCAAUUUUCCUCAUGGUUGCUGUCGAUAUCAAUAUUGAAGAUACAUACACUCAGAAACUGGUUGUGCCUAAGGGUCUACAGGUGUCCAACCCUAAAAUGCGGGGAUGGUUAAUCAACCCUAUGGGUGAACACAAGUCCUUCCCCAUAUGGCUGAUGUUCGCAUCUAUUGUCCCAGCUGUGUUGGUCUUCAUCCUCAUCUUCCUAGAGUCUCAGAUUACCACACUAAUUGUGAGUAAACCAGAGAGAAAAAUGGUCAAGGGCUCUGGCUUCCACAUGGAUCUUCUCAUCCUGGUGAGCAUGGGAGGUCUGAGUGCCAUUUUUGGCAUUCCUUGGUUAAGUGCCGCAACUGUACGAUCCGUAUCUCAUGCCAAUGCCCUGACUGUCAUGAGCAAAGGCCCAAAACCAGAGAUUGAAAAGGUUCUGGAACAGAGAGUCAGUGGAGUAGUGGUGGCUUUGCUUGUUGGUCUGUCCAUUCUCAUGGAGCCCAUUCUAAAAAUGAUUCCUAUUACAGCUCUCUUUGGAAUCUUCCUCUACAUGGGAAUCACAUCCCUCAGUGGGAUUCAGCUUUGGGAUCGAAUCCUGCUCCUCAUUAUUCCCAAAAAGUAUCACCCCAAUGAACCCUAUGCUACAAAAGUAUGUGUCUCUCAGAUGUUCUCACGUCUACCAUUACUCUGUUGGAGUACUUUGCAUUUCGGUUUUUCCUUCUUUGUAUAUGUUACAUUCUCAAGGUUGGUUGCCUUUUGCUUGAGAAACCAAUUGACCCUGGUCUCUGUCUCCCUCUGCAGGUCAGCACCAGUAGGAUGCAUGUGUUCACUGCGAUCCAGAUCGUGUGUCUGGCAAUCCUGUGGAUGGUGAAAUCGAGCCCUGUGUCACUGGCUCUACCGUUUGUCCUGAUCCUCACCAUCCCUCUGCGCAUGUUCAUGACUGGACAACUUUUCACUGAGCAAGAGAUUAAAUAUCUUGACGGUGAUGAUGCCAAGGCAACAUUUGAAGAGGAGCCAGGAGUGGAUGUGUAUUCUGAAACUCAGAUGCCAUUAUAGAUCAUUUUUCUGGAACCAGAUUCAUAUUUCACAAUCUGAGUCAGCAGAAUUAGAGUGCAGCCAACAUAUGAAAAUUUUGACAAAAUGAUACCCAACUUUAACCCCAUUAUAAUGCAACUUUUUAACAAACUCAUUUUAUUGAUGUGUGUGUGUGUUGGGAUUCUCUGUUAAUUAUUGUUAUAAUGGUCAUCAUGACAUGCUAAAUUUGUAUGUACAAACAAGUGCCUUUUAUGAGGUCUUUAAAAUCAGAUAGGACCAGCACAUCACAAAGAUAAGAUAUUGUUCUUCAUUACAAAUAAAUACUUUGUCUUGUUGGAGGAGUAGAUUGCUAUCUAUCUAUCUAUAAUAA
This is an RNA transcript of Carassius carassius (crucian carp), 3023 nucleotides long. It is a transcript of the gene named band 3 anion exchange protein-like, with no coding region annotated. Lineage: Eukaryota; Metazoa; Chordata; Actinopteri; Cypriniformes; Cyprinidae. The transcript has 15 exons. The record is from RefSeq and is a predicted model, not a curated record.